Molecule: ribosomal RNA, 439 nt
Filed under: uncultured Desulfobulbus sp.
Lineage: Bacteria; Pseudomonadati; Thermodesulfobacteriota; Desulfobulbia; Desulfobulbales; Desulfobulbaceae
Description: bacterial SSU rRNA
Rfam family: Bacterial small subunit ribosomal RNA
Source: RNAcentral
AAUUCGAUGCAACGCGAAGAACCUUACCUGGUCUUGACAUCCCGGAGACCCUUAGGAAACUAGGGGUGCUUCCAUCUGGAAGAAUCUGGAGACAGGUGCUGCAUGGCUGUCGUCAGCUCGUGUCGUGAGAUGUUGGGUUAAGUCCCGCAACGAGCGCAACCCUUGCCUUUAGUUGCCAGCAGUUCGGCUGGGCACUCUAAAGGGACUGCCGGUGUUAAACCGGAGGAAGGUGGGGAUGACGUCAAGUCCUCAUGGCCUUUAUGACCAGGGCUACACACGUACUACAAUGGCCGAUACAAAGGGCAGCGACACUGCGAGGUGAAGCCAACCCCGUAAAAUCGGUCUCAGUCCGGAUUGGAGUCUGCAACUCGACUCCAUGAAGUUGGAAUCGCUAGUAAUCGUGGAUCAGCAUGCCACGGUGAAUACGUUCCCGGGCCUU